CUCUUGUCUUGGGUGCACCCUUUGAUUUUACAUCUUGUGACAUUCCAAUCAUACGGAGAUGGUGGACUCCAGAUGGUUUUCUCUGAAAGUGCAGAAACCCUACAAGAGGCCCUUCCAAGUGGAUAACAGGCUACGCUUGUGAGGUAUGUCUCAAAUCU
Sinocyclocheilus anshuiensis is the source of this 158-nucleotide long non-coding RNA. RefSeq lists it as uncharacterized. NCBI's taxonomy places the organism in Eukaryota, Metazoa, Chordata, Actinopteri, Cypriniformes, Cyprinidae. The transcript has 3 exons. The record is from RefSeq and is a predicted model, not a curated record.